RNAcentral lists this ribosomal RNA (301 nucleotides) under uncultured bacterium. RNAcentral's name for it is "partial 16S ribosomal RNA". It matches the Rfam family "Bacterial small subunit ribosomal RNA", at positions 509 to 807 of the family's 1533-position model. The record is from RNAcentral.
CAGUAGCCACGGGAAAACGGAGGGUGCAAGCGUUAUCCGGAUUUAUUGGGUUUAAAGGGUCCGUAGGCGGAUCUGUAAGUCAGUGGUGAAAUCUCACAGCUUAACUGUGAAACUGCCAUUGAUACUGCAGGUCUUGAGUAAAUUUGAAGUGGCUGGAAUAAGUAGUGUAGCGGUGAAAUGCAUAGAUAUUACUUAGAACACCAAUUGCGAAGGCAGGUCACUAAGAUUUAACUGACGCUGAUGGACGAAAGCGUGGGGAGCGAACAGGAUUAGAUACCCCUGUAGUCCAUGUCUCUUAUAC